GAUGAAGAACGUAGUGAAAUGCGAUACUUGGUGUGAAUUGCAGAAUCCCGUGAACCAUCGAGUCUUUGAACGCAAGUUGCGCCCGAAGCCAUUAGGCCGAGGGCACGCCUGCCUGGGCGUCACACGUCGUUGCCCCCCCAUCUACUCCUUCGGGAUUGCGGGGGGCGGAUGAUGGCCUCCCGUGCGCCUCGUCGCGCGGUUGGCAUAAAUGCCAAGUCCUCGGCGACGCGCGCCACGACAAUCGGUGGUUGCGAAACCUCGGUUGCCCGUCGUGUGCGGUCGUCGCGCAUCGAGGGCUCGAAAAAAUUGUCGGGCUCCGGCUCGGCUUUCAACGCGACCCCAGGUCAGGCGGGGUUACCCGCUGAAUUUAAGCAUAUCAAUAAGCGGAGGA
RNAcentral lists this unclassified non-coding RNA (391 nucleotides) under soil metagenome. RNAcentral's name for it is "partial contains 5.8S ribosomal RNA, internal transcribed spacer 2, and large subunit ribosomal RNA". The stretch from base 1 to 122 matches the Rfam family "5.8S ribosomal RNA", at positions 35 to 154 of the family's 154-position model. The record is from RNAcentral.